AAAGCCUCUAGCGAGCUGGUACAUGGCCCGUACCCCAAACCGACACAGGUGGUCAGGUAGAGAAUACUAAGGCGAUCGAGAGAACUGUGGUUAAGGAACUCGGCAAAAUGCCCCCGUAACUUCGGGAGAAGGGGGACCAGUCCUGGUGACGACAUUUACUGUCUGAGCUGGGGUUGGUCGCAGAGACCAGAGAGAAGCGACUGUUUACUAAAAACACAGGUCCGUGCGAAGUCGUAAGACGAUGUAUACGGACUGACGCCUCCCCGGUGCUGGAAGGUUAAGAGGACCGGUCAGCCACUUCGGUGGCGAAGCUGAGAAUUUAAGCCCCAGUAAACGGCGGUGGUAACUAUAACCAUCCUAAGGUAGCGAAAUUCCUUGUCGGGUAAGUUCCGACCUGCACGAAUGGCGUAACGACUUCUCUGCUGUCUCAACCACAGACUCGGCGAAAUUGCAGUACGAGUAAAGAUGCUCGUUGCGCGCGGCAGGACGAAAAGACCCCGGGACCUUCACUAUAGCUUGGUAUUGGUGUUCGGUUCGGUUUGUGUAGGAUAGGUGGGAGACUGUGAAACUCGCACGCCAGUGUGGGUGGAGUCAUUGUUGAAAUACCACUCUGACCGUAUUGGACAUCUAACCUCGGACCAUGAUCUGGUUCAGGGACAGUGCCUGGUGGGUAGUUUAACUGGGGCGGUUGCCUCCUAAAAAGUAACGGAGGCGCCCAAAGGUUCCCUCAGCCUGGUUGGCAAUCAGGUGUUGAGUGUAAGUGCACAAGGGAGCUUGACUGUGAGACGUACAUGUCGAGCAGGGACGAAAGUCGGGACUAGUGAUCCGGCACCGGCAAGUGGAAGCGGUGUCGCUCAACGGAUAAAAGGUACCCCGGGGAUAACAGGCUGAUCUUCCCCAAGAGUCCAUAUCGACGGGAUGGUUUGGCACCUCGAUGUCGGCUCGUCGCAUCCUGGGGCUGGAGUAGGUCCCAAGGGCUGGGCUGUUCGCCCAUUAAAGCGGCACGCGAGCUGGGUUUAGAACGUCGUGAGACAGUUCGGUCUCUAUCCGCCGCGCGCGUAAGAAACUUGAGGAAACCUGUCCCUAGUACGAGAGGACCGGGACGGACGAACCUCUGGUGUGCCAGUUGUUCCACCAGGAGCACCGCUGGUUAGCUACGUUCGGAAGGGAUAACCGCUGAAAGCAUCUAAGCGGGAAGCCUGUUCCAAGAUGAGGUUUCUCACCACCUAGCGUGGUUAAGGCCCCCCACAGACCAUGGGGUUGAUAGGUCAGAACUGUAAGCACAGCAAUGUGUUCAGGUGACUGGUACUAAUCGGCCGAGGACUUACAAC
This 1331-nucleotide ribosomal RNA is filed under the name metagenome. RNAcentral describes it as "bacterial LSU rRNA". It matches the Rfam family "Bacterial large subunit ribosomal RNA", at positions 1614 to 2925 of the family's 2925-position model. The record is from RNAcentral.